UCGAGAUGCCCGCUGCUGCCCUCUGGGAUUAACAGUAUGCGGGUACUCCCACCCUUGUCAAAAGUGUCCAUUGCUUCGGCGGGCCGACACAUUGUGCCGUCGGUUAAUCUGGCGUGUGCCUGCCGAAAACCCAUACUCUGUGUCUUGUAGUCUGAUUCAAAAGUUAAUUAUCA
RNAcentral lists this unclassified non-coding RNA (173 nucleotides) under uncultured fungus. RNAcentral's name for it is "sequence contains ITS1, 5.8S rRNA gene". Lineage: Eukaryota; Fungi. The record is from RNAcentral.